ACACUGCCGGCAGGGAACGCCGCGCCACCGAGGCGGCUUUCCCAGGGCGAGGCUGAUCCAUCGCUCUCCAGGCCUGCCGACGACUCCUGCGGUCUCCCCAAGGCGGGAAACCCGACUGCCUGGUUGUGGUAGUGGGGGACUGCAUUCCGCUUCACCCUG
Molecule: small nuclear RNA, 159 nt
Filed under: Microcebus murinus (gray mouse lemur)
Lineage: Eukaryota; Metazoa; Chordata; Mammalia; Primates; Cheirogaleidae
Description: U1 spliceosomal RNA (ENSMICG00000030417.2)
Rfam family: U1 spliceosomal RNA
About the family: U1 is a small nuclear RNA (snRNA) component of the spliceosome (involved in pre-mRNA splicing).
Source: RNAcentral